Non-coding RNA from Bos taurus (domestic cattle), 46 nucleotides. The record is from Rfam. NCBI's taxonomy places the organism in Eukaryota, Metazoa, Chordata, Mammalia, Artiodactyla, Bovidae.
AUGACGGCUUUUUUGAAAGCCAUCAGUUGAAAAUAAAAUAUGGAGU